AAUUAUUGAGUUUCAAUCCAACAGCGGUUCAUUCAAACGGGGCAAUUUUGUCAUUUAAAUAAAUUAAGUACAAUCCUAAAUCGAGAGCCGUGAUUGACCGAAACAGAGGAAGAAGAUGCUCAGCAGAGACAACCAUCGCGCCCAAAAAUCCGUCCUCGGUCGUCCGCCGUGUCGUCGCGAUCAAGAAGCCCUCGAAGCGCCUUGAUUCCGGACAGUACCAAAAGCAGAAGGUCGACAACGAGCUCGAGAUAUUCACAGCCUGGGCUGGUAGAUUUGUUAGGGUUUUACAGCCAUGGGCUUUUCAGAAUCGCGGGAUGGUGCCAAAGGGCGUAACAUCGACCCCAGUCACCGGAGAUGAAGUUUCGUCGGGGGAAAUAAUCGCUCGUUACCUCAAGUCUUUCUACCUUUGCCGCUUCUUCCUAAUCCCUUCAUUAUCGUUUUUCUUUCUCUAUUUUUUUAA
RNAcentral lists this long non-coding RNA (460 nucleotides) under Linum usitatissimum (flax). RNAcentral's name for it is "long non-coding RNA (LUSI_LNC002422)". Lineage: Eukaryota; Viridiplantae; Streptophyta; Magnoliopsida; Malpighiales; Linaceae. The record is from RNAcentral.